Molecule: long non-coding RNA, 424 nt
Organism: Halichondria panicea
Lineage: Eukaryota; Metazoa; Porifera; Demospongiae; Suberitida; Halichondriidae
Exons: 3
Source: RefSeq, a predicted model, not a curated record
CACAAUUUAAUACAAGCGCUUGAUUAUACCAUUGAUUGCCAGAUACACUUGGUAGAGUCUAUCCUCAGACUCUGGCCAUCGAUCUCUUGUAUACUAUGCUCAGGGGUGUCCACAAGUGGCUGGGCCUGGGAUGUAUUGUCAAGCCUAUAGUCCAAUCCUUGGUAUCUGGAUCAAGAUAUGACAUUACGGCACUGGCACUGGUGUUGGUUGUGUUAGCCUCCUUCACCGGCCUUCAAGGAAGUGCGGCCUGGGAUCGUGGCUAGUUUUAUGUGGACCAUCACUGAGCAAAAUGGAACCUUCCCCUCCAACCCCCGUCGUACUCCUCCUAGCUGAUGGGUGUGAACUCAUUGAAAGAUGAUGCCCCAGUGCCAUCCAACGCAGUAUUUAUUAAGUCUUUCUGGAAGCUCUCGUUUGAGAUCUUCGC